Long non-coding RNA from Equus asinus (donkey), 4275 nucleotides. NCBI's taxonomy places the organism in Eukaryota, Metazoa, Chordata, Mammalia, Perissodactyla, Equidae. The record is from Ensembl.
GGUGGCCCCGCGCACGUCAGCUGUGGACGAGGGGGACACGUGCUCCAGCAUGGCCAUCCCCGCUACCUUCUGCAUUCAUCGCAGGGGACGAGGGCUCAGUGCCAGGCUGCAGGGCGCCCAGCUGUCCCGGCGUCUCCUGAGCUCUGCCCUCCCUCUGGAUCCCCACUCCCUCAGGGCGGAGGCGGACAGCAGGCUGAAGGGAGAACUUCAGUCAGUGGGAAACUUAAUGGAGCAACAGCUGGCCGCCAGCUGUCCUUGCCUUGUCACAGUUCUGAUUACACCUUGCAGGUGAAGAAGAUGAGGCUCAGAGAAGUUAAGUACCACCCAAGGCCCCAAAGCUAGUAAGUGGCAAGCCAGAAGCUUCAGUGUACACUGACCUGAGGUAGAAAAUGCUGACAUCUUUGUUCCUUUGGGUCCAGAACUCCAAAAGAGAUAAGCCCCCAGACCUUUGGUGGUGGCCGUGCAAACGCGCCUCUCAGAUUUCAGACUGGUCCCUGCUGCUGUGCCUGGAUCAUGGCCAUCGCUGUUUGCACUGAGGCCCUCAGGCUGCUUCCAGCCAUUGACUCCGGCAGGUCCCCUCUUGGAGAUGCAAGACCCCCCCCGACAGACAAAUUGGCACAAGGAUUCCCCAAGGGCUUGCUACUUUCUUAUAUCUGAACCACAACCUGAGACUCUUCACCCCACCUUCUGUCCUGCCCUCUCUCCUCCGCAGGGUCCAAACUAUGUCACAAUCUGACGUCCCUCCCAACUUCCCCCUGGCUCCCCGCCCAUCUUCCCUCACAGGUGUCCCCCAUAAAUCUCUUGCACAUAGAGUCCUGUCUUGGUGUCUGCUUCUUCAAGGACCAGAACGAAUGUAAGUAGUCUGAGGAAACAGUGGUAAGAUGGGGAUUUGGGGCUGUCCCACUCAGAGGCAAUGGGGAGGAAGAUGUCCUGAUUGAUAGGAGGCCCCCAGAGAGUCCUUAGAACAAGGCAGCAGCUCAAAUGCUAAACAUUUCACCAGCGAGGACCUGGGAAAAUUUCCUGAAGGAGAGGAAUGCUGGCAGGUGUGAUAAUUCAAGCAUUUGAAAAAUAGAGGGGCAACGAUGCCUUCAAAAAAUUGAAUGGUUACUGCAGAGGGAAGAAGGACUGCGGGCCACUAAUGAGCAGUGGAGGGGUAGGCAUGGAGGCCGAGAGCCCUGCGGUGGCUUACAAAGAGGCCCUUAUCUCUGGCAGUGGAGGGCAGAUACGGCUGAGUGGCGGGCUGAAGACAAACCGUUAGCGUUGCAGAGCGCCAGAUAAGUCUGAAGGCUCAGCCAAGGCGGUUAUGAGAAGAUCGGGCCCUGGUGGGGAAAAUCUGGACCCCUGACCCAUGAGAUAAAGACAUCUGGAUGGAUGCCCUGAAGCCGCCGCGCAGCCUCCCUGACCCUCUGAGCUCGCAGAGGUGGCCCGCCCUUCUGCAGAAGAGCCAACCCUCUGCAGUGCUGAAAGAUUCCCAAGAGGCCUCGCCCCGGCAGGGGCCCUCUCAGUGGCUGCCCCACUGCCUCUCCUGGGUGCCAGGGACAAGCAUUAGGGUUGAAUUCCAGACUAAUCUGGCUGCAGACAUGCCGGGCCUGAUAAGGGAGGAAAGAGACUAUACCAUGAAAGAAUGGUAACUCUCAUGGAUCCUGGAACAAACCAGGGAUGCUCCUGGGACUGGAUUUUGCGAAUGCCUGAUUAAGGAGGCUGGAAUGUAAGACUGGCUAACAAGAAUCCAUCGGCUGGAGGGCACUUUCUUGAGACACAAGAUUUAAUAUCCUAGCGAGGAUACCAGGGGAUGGGGCAGACUCUGCUAGGGUGGCUCUUAGAAGUCUGGAAAAAGUAGUGGCUAACACUCAGUGCAGUGGAAAUACCUGAGUUCUCCUGGCAGAUGGUAGAGAAGAAGUUAAAAAAGCUGAGGAAAGUGGACACGCUGGAACGGAUUUGUUAUCUAAGGCCGGUAAUGACAGGCAAGGACAGAGGGGCAGGCAAGGGGGCUUGACCCACAGAAAGCUGUGGAGAUGGUGAAUGGAGCAGGGUAUCCCCAGGAGCAAACCAGAGGGGCAGCCAAGAAGCCUCUGCUUAAUAUCUACAGCCAGAAAAGCAGACAGGAGUGGAGGAGCAGAAGGCAGGGGCAAUAGGAAGUCACCGUCCCUUGCUCAGUUCCCAGACCUGAACCAAUUUUCAGAUAUGAAACCCGCUGACCGAAGAGGUGGCCAGAUCUCUAGGAAUAGGACCCUGCCAAACCUCAAGUAUGUAUCAUGAUGAUUCCUUCAGGAUUCUUCCAAAGGCCUGUGGCCAUUUGUUUGGGUGAUUGUUCACUAGAGAAAGGGGAAUAACAAGACAUUUGAGGACUAGUAGAUACAGAGUUUGAGUUGACGUUAACACCUGGAGACUCAAAGCAUCAUCGUGGGCCUCUUUUCAGAGCCAGGCCAUGGUGGUCAGGCAGUAAGUGGAGUCCUGGCUAAAGUCCGGAUUGCAGUGGGCCUGCUGGGUCCACGAACCCACCCAGAAGCCCCUUGUCCCUGAGAGUGUCAUUCACAUGCUUUGACAGUUGGAGUAACCCCUACCUCAGUCCUGGUCUACUGGGUGGGAGCUAUUAGAGCCAAGAAGGCCAAGUAGAAACUUCUGAAACUGCCGUGCCCCUUCUCCUCGCCCUGCCCGAGAUAGUAAACCAAAAAUAACAUCUCAUCCUAGGGGCUGUGGUAGAAACUAAUUCCACGACUAACAACUAAGGAUGAAGGAGUGUGGUCCCUACCAUUGAUUUCUUCAUUUAACUCACCAGUCUGACCUCUGCAGAAAUUGGACGGAUCCUGGAGGAAGACCGUAGACCGCCACGGCUUAACCAAGGGGGAGCCCUGCUGGCAGCUGCUGUGCCUGAUGUGGAGUCCUUGCCGGAGCAGGUUCACGAGGCCUUAGUCUCCCUUAGGAACAGCCCAAGGGAAACAGGCAAGAGCCACCCUCUGUAUCUGGUGGAGAAGCAGCACCGUGUGGCACAAGGGUGGACUGUGACAACCAUGAAGACUUCUCUCGGUUCUCUGGCUGCAGGGAUUGGAAGUGGCCGCCCGCGCCAGCUGCUGUAUCCUGAAAUCUAUUACUGAGUUUGCACUAAGAAUGCACUUCCCACGAGCUGCUGCCUGCCAGUGACUGAGCAUGGCGGGGAUCCUGGCAGGCUGUCCUCAGGAGAUUGCCGAUGGCUUGAGGACUUCUCACCUGCCUUGCCGAGCCUCGUUAGACCCGCACUGCAGUCUAAGUCUCCUCCGCCCAACUCUCCUUCCUUCUCUCUUUCACAAGGUCACACCCGCACCAUGGUCUCCUGGCUCUCCCAGGCUCCCCUGCUUCCCUUCCAUUACAAUUUGAGAAGAACUCAUUUAGAUGAUUUUGUCUUUAAAUCCUUUAAAUCUGUUUGGAACCUGAGUCUUUGCAAAGGUAAACAGUUGGAAUCACACAACCAUCUGGGUCCUUCAUUUUGUAGGUCAAAGCCCAGCAAAGUUAAGGCACUAGUUCAAAGUCACAUGGCGAACUAGAAUAGAGCCAGCACCCAGGGGUCUUACCCGCCAGCUCUUCCCACUGUAGGCUCUUCUGUGAGCAGGCUGCUUGCUCUAAAUGUGCAUUGUCUAGUGUGGUAGCACCGGAAAUGUGGGUAGUUGUGGUGUAAUAAAAAAACACUUGGUCUUUGUCCUGGGUUCCUGGCCUGGAGUCCCUCAAACCCUUAGAAUUUCCUGGGUGAUGGCGUGUCUCUCGUUAUUCACAAGGAGCGCCUCUGACCACACCUGUGUUUAUGCGAACGAAGUGACUCACGGUGGGGCCCUAGAUAGCUUCAGGAUGGGCGCUGGUCAUUGGAAAGACCAAACAUGUGCAUAGAGGGUGGGAACUUGCAGCUUCAGGGGGGGUGGUGGGGGCUGCAGAAUGAGUUAUAAAAACUCUUGAACAAGAUUCAAAGAGCUCCCGGUUGGUGACCACAUUGAGACGCUGGGAGGGUGGAGGCCCCGAGAGGGCAUGGAAGGUCUGCACUACCCCUUCUCCCACAGCCUGCCCUAUGCCUCUUUUCCACGUGGCUGUUGUGGAGUUGUACCUUCAUAAUAAACUGAUAAACAUAAGUAAAGUGUUCUCUUGAGUUCUGUGAGCUCUUCUAAUCAUUGAACCUGAGGAGGGGGUUAUGGGAACCUCCCAAUUUAUAGCUGGUCAGUCGUAAGUAUAGGUGACCCCUGGGACUUGCACCUGGUAUCUAAAGUGGGGGCAGUCUUGUGGGAUGGAGUCCUAAACUGUGGAGCCAGCACU